ACGUAGGUGGCAAGCGUUAUCCGGAAUUACUGGGCGUAAAGCGCACGCAGGCGGUCUUGUAAGUUUGACGUGAAAGCUCCCGGCUUAACUGGGAGAGGUCGUUGAAUACUGCGAGACUUGAGUUUAGGAGAGGGGUGUAGAAUUCCCGGUGUAGUGGUGGAAUGCGUAGAUAUCGGGGGGAAUACCAGUGGCGAAAGCGGCACCCUAGCCUUUGACUGACGCUCAUGUGCGAAAGCGUGGGGAGCGAACGGGAUUAGAUACCCCGGUAGUCCACGCCGUAAACGAUGAACACUAGGUGUAGGUGAUGUGAAAGUUAUCUGUGCCGAAGCCAACGCGUUAAGUGUUCCGCCUGGGGAGUACGGCCGCAAGGCUA
This 373-nucleotide ribosomal RNA is filed under the name uncultured bacterium. RNAcentral describes it as "bacterial SSU rRNA". It matches the Rfam family "Bacterial small subunit ribosomal RNA", at positions 525 to 896 of the family's 1533-position model. The record is from RNAcentral.